RNAcentral lists this ribosomal RNA (254 nucleotides) under uncultured bacterium. Its description in RNAcentral is "partial 16S ribosomal RNA". It matches the Rfam family "Bacterial small subunit ribosomal RNA", at positions 524 to 776 of the family's 1533-position model. The record is from RNAcentral.
CACGUAGGGGGCAAGCGUUGUCCGGAAUCAUUGGGCGUAAAGAGCUCGUAGGCGGCUCAGUAAGUCGGGUGUGAAACCUCCAGGCUCAACCUGGAGACGCCACCCGAUACUGCUGUGGCUAGAGUCCAGUAGGGGAGUGUGGAAUUCCCAGUGUAGCGGUGAAAUGCGCAGAUAUCGGGAGGAACACCAGCGGCGAAGGCGGCACUCUGGGCUGGUACUGACGCUGAGGAGCGAAAGCGUGGGUAGCAAACAGG